UCCCUGGUGGCUCAGCUGGUAAAGUGUCUGCCUGCAAUGCAGGAGACCCGGGUUUGAUCCCAGGUCAGGAAG
This 72-nucleotide transfer RNA is filed under the name Bos taurus (domestic cattle). It matches the Rfam family "tRNA". Rfam says of the family: Transfer RNA (tRNA) molecules are approximately 80 nucleotides in length. Their secondary structure includes four short double-helical elements and three loops (D, anti-codon, and T loops). Further hydrogen bonds mediate the characteristic L-shaped molecular structure. tRNAs have two regions of fundamental functional importance: the anti-codon, which is responsible for specific mRNA codon recognition, and the 3' end, to which the tRNAs corresponding amino acid is attached (by aminoacyl-tRNA synthetases). tRNAs cope with the degeneracy of the genetic code in two manners: having more than one tRNA (with a specific anti-codon) for a particular amino acid; and 'wobble' base-pairing, i.e. permitting non-standard base-pairing at the 3rd anti-codon position. Lineage: Eukaryota; Metazoa; Chordata; Mammalia; Artiodactyla; Bovidae. RNAcentral also lists the same sequence under 2 other names. The record is from Rfam by way of RNAcentral.